This 780-nucleotide long non-coding RNA is filed under the name Cricetulus griseus (Chinese hamster). RNAcentral's name for it is "lncRNA (ENSCGRG00015039509.1)". Lineage: Eukaryota; Metazoa; Chordata; Mammalia; Rodentia; Cricetidae. The record is from RNAcentral.
AAAAUAGAAGGCAUGGGAAUGCCAUGGUCCCCAAGACACUGAAGCAACUACUUGGCUUUUUCAGUUUUGUUUUGUUUUGUUUUGUUUUUUGUAGACUAAUAUCAUAAGAUACCACAGUAUCAAAUGUGGAGAAUGGGUGGGAGUCUUGCAGGGGUAACAGAGUGAAGAUCAAGUUUAGACUGAUUUUUCCCCCUCAAAGGUUUUUCCUUUUUCUCUCUAGUGACAUAAAUUUUCAUUUUGUGCAAAGUGGGGAAGAAUGAAGUUGGCAGGAGAUUAUCAAUUUUGGAAUUAAGGGGUUAUAACUACAGGGAUAUUUUUAAAUACACGGUAAGACAAUGGCAUCUUUAUCUUGACAUGGGGAGAAAGUGAAUUUUCACUGUUAAGUGUGAAGCUUGCUGUGGGGUUUUAUAGCUAUUGUGUAUCAAAUGAAGUAAUUAUCUGCAAGUCCACAUUUGCUGAGAAUGCUAUCAUGGAGGAAACUUGCAUUUUGCCAAACACAUUUUCUGCAUCAGUUGAUAUGGUUAUAUGAUUUUCUGCUCAGCUAAUUGACAUGAUUGAUCACACCGAUUAAUUUCAAGUGUUGAGACAGUUUUGCACAUCUGGAAGGAAGUCUACCUGGAGAAGUGGCCAAGAAUGAAUCCAAUGAGAAGAGAAGGGAAAUAAAAGGAUACAGAACCCCAAGGAGCAGCAGCCAUAGGAAGUUUGCAGGAUUAGCUGACUGCUCCUGCUGACUCCAUGCCAAGUGCUUCCCAUCUGCCAUCAGUGCCCUCUCCUCAGGCA